AGGGUGCCCACUCAAAUGCUGUCACCUCCACUUAGAGAGUUGGUUGCUAGGAGACCGGAGCCACCAUCACAGUAUGGGGUUAGGAAGAUGUGAGGCAUCGUGAAGUAGUGCGAGAUAUGGACGGAUAGAGAGGCUUUAAAGCGACUCUGGAGCUUUAGAUGUAAUGAAUGAAUAAUGACAACGGUGUGAUAGCAGAGGGUCAAAACUCUUUGGUGAUAUUUAAAGGAAUGACAAGCAGCGAUGCUGCCCUUGUGAGAGCAAUCUGGGAUAAUUUAUGUUUUAUGGACUUUGAACGGCUUUACGGCUAAGAAUUACCAGUAGUUUUCUGCUCCUGCUGACCUUGCUUCUAUAAAAAAAACGCAAACAUAACACUCAAAUCAGCAUUUCUUUACGCAAUGAUCCUCUGGUAAAAUUCCUGUUUCCCACAUCUGCUACAUAUUUCCAGAUUGAUGAUCAGCAAUAUGUAUAAAUAUUAGAGUUCGAGCCUCAGUGAUCAAGAUGAAGAAAACCAAAAAAUGAAAAUAAGUAGUACCAUAAUGUUUGAUAACAUCAAUAACCACAAAACAAAUAGAAAUCAUAUAAAAUCAUAUUUAAAGACGGGAUUAUCCCAAAUUAAAAGAUAGAUGAAAACUACACACAGAUUCUGAGUUAGAUAUUGUGAAACAUGCAUGAAGCAGAUUAAUUUACAGUCAUGUAUCCUCUUUAUAAGACAGAUAUCCAGCAAUUUGACAACUUGCAAUGCUGCACAGAUUUAGCAUGUGUAAAGUAAAUACAAAGGGGGCCGAGUACGCUUCCUUGAGGAACUCCAUAAUUAAAAUCAAUUGUAAUACAAGAUAUUUUUUCCCAAGUCUGUUCGUUAAAACGCAGUGAUAAAUUCUGUCUCAGGCAAGGCUCAAAUCUCAAAGAAAGAGGCACACCCACAACUGGAUUGCAUUGGAGACAUCCAUUGUGCAGAGGGGAUGACUCCUGAUGGCCAUCACCUGACUUUGCAACGAGUGCCAUUAUGUCGACAUUUCUCAACAGCUGUUGGAUUGAUCACUUGGAAAUUUGGUGGGUAAAUUCAAGUCCCCUUCAGGAUAAUCUGUAGCCGCUAUUGUGAUCCCUUGACUUUUCAUGCAGCGCCAUUGUCAGGUGAAAACCGUAUUUGUAUAGUUUUCCAUAUUGUUUUUGUGAAUGAAUGAAACAAAUCCCAAUCUAUUCAAAAAACUCUAUACAUCCAUUUGACGAGAAUUGAAUUACAUAAAUAAUAACGUGCCCUUAUGCUGUUGGGCCAUCCUUACAAAUCAUGACAGCUGGGCUCUAACUUUCCACCGGAUGUCAUUUUAGUUUUUAAAUUGCUGCAAUCUCGUCUUGGAACAGAAUUCAGUGUCUCACCGUGGUCUUGAGGAUGAAAGAGACGGCGUGUUUGCACCGACGUGUAGUGUGUGCUAUACUUAGAUAUUUUUCCAACUGAGAUAGAAGAGCAAAUGGCCAUGAGUUUUUUGUUUUGUCAUCUCUACCCCCACCACUCCGCCCGAGACUGAAUCAGUAUUGUGUGAGAGUAGGAUCCCUCACAUUCCCACGAGGCUUUCACAAGGCCAGAGUGGGACAAAAUAAGAGUAAAAAUACGAAUGACAGCGAGGAGGGGGUCGACAAGAACAAAAACCCAGAGCUGUAUACGUGAGAGUCUAGAUGCACUUCAGUAAUGUUCCCUUUGGAGAUAUUCCAUAGUAGAAAUAAGCACAAAGUAUGUUUUCUACCACAGGGAUGUCCACUCUGAAAAGCAGACCUUGACGUAAUACGUUUCCGUCCCGAAUCCCUUGAUGCGAAAAAGCUUUUACAGUAUGAAAGAAAACAAACGCCGGUUUUUCUUUUGGUCAUUAACGUCAUUCAGAGAGAUCAAAGGUAAAGGGCGUCUCCCCGGGUAACCGCGCCUUGUUAUUGAUGCUGUUGCUCAGAAGUGGAGAAGCUAUCAGCCAUCUGUCGUCGAUGUUUUACAUGAAAUCUGGCUGCUUUCAAGUUCCCCACCGCCUUCAAACGGAGCUCGAGAUGGAGAGUGACGGCCGCAGACAUCAAGUCGCUCCCAUCGGUGGCAAAGACUGACAGUUACCACGACAACCCAUGGGUGGAAGCCACUUGACUUGCAAAGCCGCCCGCGUCUUCAUUCGGACGGCAUUAAUUAUUUCCAUCCUCUCCAACAGUUUUAAUUUCCCUGCUCACGUGAAUAAAUCUGUGUUGGAUUCGUGAUGAGCUGCAAGACAAAUUAUCGUUAUCAUUUGAGGGUUUGUUUCAGGCAUCAUGCAAAGAGAUAAAUGACUCCCUUUAGCAAAAGGGCAGACUCCCGCCUGCAAAAUAGCAAAUAAUUAAUGUCUGGCUUUUUUUUGUAGUGCUUGUGGGAGGGGGAGCAGAUGGAGGCUUUACUUACUUACUAACUACUUACAAGAUUAAUGUUCCCUCUAUGCUGCAACCCGCUGAGGCUUCCUGCUGUCUGCUAUCAUGACCUAUCAUUGCACGGACUCUGAGAGCUUAUUAAGGGUCACAUUUAUGGUGUUAAAAUGCAAAGUAACAAAACAAACAGGAAACUAAGCACUCGACUACAGCUGUCGUACUCCUAGGGUUUAAAUGCACGCUUUGUUUAACUAUUUCCACCUGAGAGGGAAAUAUUGUACUUCACUUUUGAAAUAUUUUUUUUGAUAAAAUUGAAAAUAAUACAUUUUUAGUUAUAUGACACAUAUUCCUUCUUUAAUCAGCCUAAAGUAUAUCAACAUGAUCUCCCUCACAACCAGCUGCAACAUUAAAUGAUUAAAGAUUAAAAUGAUGUCUUUGUCACAUGUUCAAACAAUGUGCGUGUGAGUAGUGGAACCAAAUGCAGGGAAGCACAAUGACCCCAACCCUAAAAAAUAUUAGAGUGGAAUGUCAUCCAUCCACCUUCAAAGCCGCUUAUCCACCAUGCAGGGUCGCAGGGGGCUGCAGUCAAUCCCUGCUAACAUUGGACGAGAAUUAAAAGUGGAAUGAAUAAAGACAAUUCUAAAAAUAAAUGUAUACCAUCACAUUUGAGGCUUAAGUAAUAACAAUAACAGCCUGUGUCAUUUUAACUGGUCACACACACAAAGUAUCCCAUGAUGCUUCACUCACGUCUUUGGGCUGCAUAGCGUCACGUGAUGCACAUCGAGAUUCACAUCGAGAUUCACACAGUCGGGCCACUUUGUCAAAGGAGCUUCUGCUCCUCCUGAGGUCUUGACUCAAACAUUCACACUUGCAUCGACACCACUUAGUUGGGUGGAGUGAGGUCACCGUGGAGUGGAGAAAGGUCACCGUGAAUUGGUUUUGAUUAAGACACACAAACGCAAACACCUCCAUCCACCUCCACCCGCCCGCUGUGCGUCUUCAUCAUCUCCCUCUCAAUGCUUUUUCUCUGAGGCUCUAACAAUGAUGUGGUUGAGUCUAUUUUUGAGUCAAAAUACAAUUUCCAAAAUAAAAGCUCAUCACAUAACGGUCUUAGGGUGUUUAAAAAAACUCUUAUUUUAUUGUGAAGGGGCUUAAGGUUGUGAAUCCUUUUCCGUCAGAGUACUGUGAGGUUUUCUUGGCUUCAUGUCAAAGAGACAAAGUGUGACCUGCAGAACGUGAGAGAAGAGAGCCCCCAUGUGACAGAGGUGGGAAACACACAAUAUAUGUGAUUUACACCACAACCUCAGCUUCCUCACUUUGAUUUUAAUGUUGCUUAUUCUGGAGCAAUACAAACCUGCAGCAAAAAACACCAUCAGAAAUGGUUUAUUACUUUGAAAUUGAUUUGGUGAAUGUUGCGUGAUAAUGAACGUAUCAUACGACGGAAUACAAACAUAACGCAAAUUAAAAAAAACAAUAUAAAUAAGUCUACAUUAAAAUGUCUGUUACUAGAAGUGUCUAUUUAAAUUUGUGCAGCGAUGUGUAAAUGUACGUGAUUGUUCUGGGCAUAAUACACAAAUAAAUUCCCAUACGAGUA
Molecule: non-coding RNA, 3961 nt
Organism: Gasterosteus aculeatus aculeatus (three-spined stickleback)
Lineage: Eukaryota; Metazoa; Chordata; Actinopteri; Perciformes; Gasterosteidae
Source: RefSeq, a predicted model, not a curated record